AAACCUGAAACCGUGCGCUUACAAGAAGUCAGAGCCCGAUUCAGGGGUGAUGGCGUGCCUUUUGUAGAAUGAACCGGCGAGUUACGUUCCCAUGCAAGGUUAAGGUGAAGAGCCGGAGCCGCAGCGAAAGCGAGUCUGAAUAGGGCGAUACAGUAUGUGGACGUAGACCCGAAACCGUGUGAUCUACCCCUGUCCAGGGUGAAGGUGCGGUAACACGCACUGGAGGCCCGAACCCACGAAUGUUGAAAAAUUCGGGGAUGAGGUGGGGGUAGCGGAGAAAUUCCAAUCGAACUCGGAGAUAGCUGGUUCUCCCCGAAAUAGCUUUAGGGCUAGCCUCGGUGUCAGAGUCGUGGAGGUAGAGCACUGAUUGGGUGCGGGGCCCGCCAAGGGUUACCAAGUCCAGUCAAGCUCCGAAUGCCAAGUACCUAUAACCGGGAGUCAGACGGUGAGUGCUAAGAUCCAUCAUCAAGAGGGAAACGACCCAGACCAACAGCUAAGGUCCCCGGAUCGGAAGAGCACACUGCCGGAUCCCAAUGGCUGACACUUU
RNAcentral lists this ribosomal RNA (547 nucleotides) under Metabacillus bambusae. RNAcentral's name for it is "partial 23S ribosomal RNA". It matches the Rfam family "Bacterial large subunit ribosomal RNA", at positions 546 to 1099 of the family's 2925-position model. Lineage: Bacteria; Bacillati; Bacillota; Bacilli; Caryophanales; Bacillaceae. The record is from RNAcentral.